GGUAAGUCGGUCCAGGCGGCGUCGGUAUAACGGGUGAGGGAGGCAUUGACCGGAAUGAUGGGGAGUAAGACGGCCGUGGGUGGCAAGGUAAGGCGUCGGUCAAAGGCUGGGGCUUAACCCUGGAAAGGCCGUGGAAACUGACUAGCUAGAGGGCAGUAGGGGUAGAGGGAAUUCCCGGUGUAGCGGUGAAAUGCGUAGAGCUCGGGAAGAACAUCGGUGGCGAAAGCGCUCUACUGGACUGCAACUGACACUCAGGGACGAAAGCUAGGGGAGCGAAUGGGAUUAGAUACCCUGGUAGUC
RNAcentral lists this ribosomal RNA (300 nucleotides) under uncultured bacterium. RNAcentral describes it as "bacterial SSU rRNA". It matches the Rfam family "Bacterial small subunit ribosomal RNA", at positions 496 to 795 of the family's 1533-position model. The record is from RNAcentral.